AAAUAUACACUGGUAAAAAUGCGAAUAAAAAAUUGGGGUAUAUUUUUUUAUGUCCCCCACUAUAGUAGUGGGGGACAUAUUGUUUUUGCCCUGUCUGUUGGUCUGUCUGGUUGCGUCAACUUUAACAUUUUGCAAUAACUUUUGCUAUAUUGAAGAUAGCAACUUCAUAUUUGGCAUGCAUGUGUAUCUCAUGGAGCUGCACAUUUUGAGUGGUGAAAGGUCAAGGUCAUCCUUCAAGGUCAGAGGUCAAAUAUAUGUGGCCCAAAUCGCUCAUUUUAUGAAUACUUUUGCAAUACUGAAGAUAGCAACUUGAUAUUUGGCAUGCAUGUGUAUCUCAUGGAGCUGCACAUUUUGAGUGGUGAAAGGUCAAGGUCAAGGUCAUCCUUCAAGGUCAGAGGUCAAAUAUAUGUGGCCCAAAUCACGUAUUUUAUAAAUACUUUUGCAAUAUUGAAGAUAGCAACUUGAUAUUUGGCAUGCAUGUGCAUCUCAUGGAGCUGCACAUUUUGAGUGGUGAAAGGUCAAGGUCAAGGUCACCCUUCACAAGGUCAAGGUCAUCCUACAAGGUCAAACAUCAUAUAGGGGGACAUUGUGUUUCACAAACACAUCUUGUUUUAUUUGGUUUAAGCGAUUAGGAAGCAUUUUUGAUGUUGUCUAUCGUAUCCCUGUAGUAAUUGUUGAACUCAUGUUCAACGUUUUAUAAAUUGAGAACUGUGAAUAUAAACAAGCGUAACCAUA
This is a long non-coding RNA of Dreissena polymorpha, 735 nucleotides long. RefSeq lists it as uncharacterized. The transcript is spliced from 2 exons. The record is from RefSeq and is a predicted model, not a curated record. NCBI's taxonomy places the organism in Eukaryota, Metazoa, Mollusca, Bivalvia, Myida, Dreissenidae.